UACUGUUGGCUUACAUUUAUGGUACGGGGUGGUCCCGUAAGACCAGUAAAGCGCAGUACCCCAUAUUUACCCCCCGCGAGGACCUCUGGAUCGGCGGCGGAGGAGAGAGGGAGGGAGGGCGUCGGCGGAGGGAGGGAGGGUGGGUGGGUGUAGCGGCGACGGCGGUGGGUGCGCGCACGCUCUACGCAGCGGCGGCGGCGGUAGCGGUAGGAGGUAGCGGGGGUAGAGCGGGCGGAGGGGGUGUAAGGGUAGAGCCAGUCGUAGGGGCACCGGCCGCGACCGUGAUCGUCGACGUCCUCCUCCACACCCAAUCGCCGCCACCCCGGUCGUUGUCGUCGUCGCUGUCUGCCCGCCCACGACCCGGUGGCCGGGCACCUCCUGCACACGUUCCACACGCACCACGCGCCGCGCCGCCGCGUCCUCGCCCCCCUCCGCGACGCCCGCUACCUCUGCACCAGCAGCGUAGUGGUAGCUGCCCUCCUCGCGUCCUUGACGCUCGAGGGGAAGCCGCUGGUCCGGAAGAGGAGGAAACGAGAACCGUCGGUGGCGACGCGAGGGCAGUCGCGGCAGGAACUCCAUGCAGAUGGUAGAGGAAGGGACGAAUAGAACGCCGGUAACACGGGAACGGCGUGACCAGGAUUGGUUCCGAAGACGGCGAGGAGCUGCGAGCCGUCCAGAGUGGACGCAAGGUCACUCAACUCUAACUUCCACCUGGUCCUAGACACCCGAAACAAGAUAAGCAGCCAGUGGGAACGGAACCGUGAUCGGCACGUUACCUUCUCUUUAUUGAGUACGUAACGAUUAAGGGAUGAACUUUCGAUGACGACACUUCCGUGGACAGUACCGUUUGAAGUGCUCAACGGGCUACUGGUCAAGUAAGGAGAGUCAUCCUACGAAAUGUCCCACAGCCAACAUCUCUGCCUUCUCCUCCAACUAUGUAGGAGCCGCGGACGACGUCGCUGGUGCUGGUGUAGUGCUCUCUUCCGUCCCCGUGGCCACGGACCGCUACUCCGCCGCUGCCGCUCCGACCUCCAGCUCCCCGCGACCCCUGCUUGCCUAGGCCGGCGAGGCCUGGACAAGGCCGGCCUAGGCCGCUGUCGAGCGCUGCCCCGACACCGCUCCUUCGAGGCCGCGCCACCGAGGACGCUCCUUCUCUCUCUCUCUCCCUUUUGCCAACUAUUCGUCAAUUAAUUCUAAUACGGUCUACACUGGAAGAUGAAUUGACACUACUACAUGUCUGGAAGACUUGAUCUAGUACACACGAGUUCAUGUUUUCCUUUAGGACCAGGUACGAGAUCGACGGCGUCGGAUGUCUUUAUGAGUGGUCGUUUACUACUACAUGUAGAUGAGAAGAGAUUCUUACUUUAUACACUGAGAACCUAUUUCGGCGACCAACCAAGCUCUCAUGGACGGGAAUUCAAAAUACAGACGGUUUACUUGUAGUGUAAGUGGUCUGGACCUUUUUCUCACCUUUUCCUAGAGGUUGGUCCUACGUAGUUCCGUAUACGAUCCCCUUUGUUUAGCGCUUGUUCGAACCACUUGGGAGGCACCUCCUCCGGCGGACCGACACCUCCAGAUUUCUGUUACAACUACGGUACGCGUUCGCGUUAGAUGGCACGGUCCAAUAUACACUGGCGUGGGCUGUCCCCACACCCCACGCCGUUCGGCGUGAAAGGUAGGUCACGUUUCCUUUGACCCGGCCAGCCGGGUAUACAGGUAUACAGAUAAAAUCAACGGUCGGGUAUGACGCAACUACUGCAAAGUAGCGGGCCAGUUCCUGUCUGUUGUCUUGGGUGCCGCAUGCCGGAGCGGCGGCGACCGAAGAGAGUACACGGCACAACAAAUGAUAGCCUAGGCACACGCUCUUAAUGUGGUUAUGCCUCGGUACCACGGAGGUAGACAUAAGGUAUU
RNAcentral lists this ribosomal RNA (1911 nucleotides) under Triticum aestivum (bread wheat). RNAcentral's name for it is "partial small subunit ribosomal RNA". The record is from RNAcentral. Lineage: Eukaryota; Viridiplantae; Streptophyta; Magnoliopsida; Poales; Poaceae.